Long non-coding RNA from Anopheles coustani, 327 nucleotides. RefSeq lists it as uncharacterized. The transcript has 2 exons. The record is from RefSeq and is a predicted model, not a curated record. Lineage: Eukaryota; Metazoa; Arthropoda; Insecta; Diptera; Culicidae.
GUCAUCUUAUAGAAAAAAAAAGAUUCGCAUCUCGUCGCGUGCUCUGUUUAACAAAACGUUUUUUACACUACUUGUGUAAAACUGAAAAGUAAAACUAGUUGCGUAAAAUCAUGUUUCGUAUGCACGGACUUCCUCCGACGGAUGCCGCAGAGGAAAAACGCAAAGUGCGACUAGCUGUCCAACAAAAUCUAUUCGCCUUCUUAGCGCUUUGCGUUUCGAUUCGAAUAGCUUCUGUUUUGGUACAAGAAGGAACGGUUUAAUCAAUCACGGUACGAUGGUAUUAUCAACGCUUUCAUAUUAAAUAAGAGCUAUACAUUACACUACUUA